GGUGAGAUGGCUCAGUCGGUAAGAGCACCCGACUGCUCUUCCGAAGAUCCCGAGUUCAAAUCCCAGCAACCA
RNAcentral lists this transfer RNA (72 nucleotides) under Mus musculus (house mouse). RNAcentral describes it as "tRNA-Ser". Lineage: Eukaryota; Metazoa; Chordata; Mammalia; Rodentia; Muridae. The record is from RNAcentral.